CAUGUCUAAGAGCUGAGUCCAAGCCCCAACAACAAAAACAAAAACACAGAUGGCCAUCUGUAAUACAGAAGAGCCUACACCAGGAGCCAAAUUUGCUCAUCAUCUUAAUUUUGGAUUCUCCAGCCUUUUAGACUUGAAUGGCUACAACAAACUUUCUAGAACAGUGAGGGAAUAAAUACUUUUCCAUUGUUUGUGCACCCAAAAAAAAGAAACAAACAUUAAGUGUAUCACUUAUGUCUAAUGGCUCUAUUAUUUAGUUCCUAUUUGUUUCCUCUGCAAAUUAAGAGCUGUGUUUUUAAAGUCCUAAUAUGAAGAAUCUGUUGGAAGAAAAAUGAAGAGUCGAAAGGCCUCUGAUGUUCCUCUAAACUCUAGAUCCCUAUCUGCAAGACUGCAAGAGGCAUUUAUUGACGAUGCUAUUAACAACCUGCCCUCAAGUUGCACUGCAUGAGCCCGAG
Molecule: long non-coding RNA, 455 nt
Organism: Perognathus longimembris pacificus (Pacific pocket mouse)
Lineage: Eukaryota; Metazoa; Chordata; Mammalia; Rodentia; Heteromyidae
Exons: 2
Source: RefSeq, a predicted model, not a curated record